Molecule: ribosomal RNA, 409 nt
Filed under: bacterium
Lineage: Bacteria
Description: partial 16S ribosomal RNA
Rfam family: Bacterial small subunit ribosomal RNA
Source: RNAcentral
UGGGGAAUAUUGCACAAUGGGCGAAAGCCUGAUGCAGCGACGCCGCGUGAGGGAUGACGGCCUUCGGGUUGUAAACUUCUUUCAGCAGGGACGAAGCGCAAGUGACGGUACCUGCAGAAGAAGCACCGGCUAACUACGUGCCAGCAUCCGCGGUAAUACGUGGGGUGCAAGCGUUGUCCGGAAUUACUGGGCGUAAAGAGUUCGUAGGCGGCUUGUCACGACGUUUGUGAAAACCAGCAGCUCAACUGCUGGCUUGCAGGGGAUACGGGCAGACUUGAGUACUGCAGGGGAGACUGGAAUUCCUGGUGUAGCGGUGAAGUGCGCAGAUAUCAGGAGGAACACCGGUGGCGGUGGCAAGUCUCUGGGCAGUAACUGACGCUGAGGAACGAAGGCGUGGGUAGCGAACAGG